UACAGAGGUGGCAAGCGUUGUUCGGAAUUACUGGGCGUAAAGGGCGCGUAGGCGGCCUUCUAAGUCAGACGUGAAAUCCGCCGGCUUAACCUGGGAACUGCGUCUGAUACUGGAAGGCUUGAGUGCGGGAGAGGGAUGUGGAAUUCCAGGUGUAGCGGUGAAAUGCGUAGAUAUCUGGAGGAACACCGGUGGCGAAGGCGGCAUCCUGGACCGACACUGACGCUGAGGCGCGAAAGCUAGGGUAGCAAACGGG
RNAcentral lists this ribosomal RNA (253 nucleotides) under uncultured bacterium. RNAcentral describes it as "partial 16S ribosomal RNA". It matches the Rfam family "Bacterial small subunit ribosomal RNA", at positions 524 to 776 of the family's 1533-position model. The record is from RNAcentral.